UGCUUCUAGACGGGGGAAAAGAGUAGAAGAGGGAGGAGAGAGAAAGUCAUUUUAAUGACAAACUGUGCUCUUCUCAGUGGGGAUGUCAAUAUGCAGUGAUGCCCCAGAUCAGAGAUGUGAAAAUCUCCUAGUUAUCAAAAAAAAUUUCUUCAGACAGAAAAAAGUUCCAAUAAAGGUAGAAUUAGUACAAGUUACUUUAUGCAUUUGUGAACUUUUUCUAUAAUUGAUGACAUUAAACCGCAUCUGACACACCAUUUCUUUCUUCCAUAAAUAUUAAACAUGUUAAAAGCAAGUAACUUAUUUGUGUAUUCUUUAUUUUCCAGAGGCUCUAUGUCCAUCCUUUGUUAAACAUUUCUGAUAAAAUUCAAAUAAAACCAUGCUAAUGAGCUGUAGAGUGCUAUCUAUGAUCAUUUUACUCAUCACUAUUAUUUUGCUAGAGCAAAGUAGUUUUUAGAAGUCCUUUUUCUUUUCACUUUGUUCUAGAGAGUAUUUGAAAAUCAAGACUCUAUCUCUAAAGAUGGACAGUCCUUUAGGAGGCAAUGCUGAGUUUUUUCCUGGUAUUUGUAAGGCACUGCUAUCUUUGGACCUAAAACGUUAAGACCAAAGGGCCCAUACCUUGACUUCCCUAAAAGGGACACAUUUCCUCCUUGGAAAAGAUUUGAACUGUGAUAAUGAUUAAUUCUAUAUUUCUCAGGCAAGACCUCUGAAUCAUCACAAAAUUAUGGAUUUAGUCUGUGUUUAAGAAUAUCUCCAGUGUGUCAGCUUCUCCCAAUAAAAGAAUUUUGUAUUUCAGUGUCCAGUGAUUAUUACAUUUGAAAAUGUAACAUUUAAUACUUUAUAGAUGGCAGAUAUUAUUGACAAGCUUUAGAAAUACAUCCAUCAGAUAUAUUUCUUUUGAGAAGGCUGAAAUGCAUCUGGGGAUCAGAAAGGAUGAUGAUGAAAUUAAUAGAAUGUGAAACAGACACUCAGCUGAGAACCUCUAAGGCAUUUUUGGAGACAACAUGGUAACAUUUCGACCUUCUCACAUCAGGAAUGGAAGAUGGAACAGAAGAUAAUAGAGAAUACAAAGGAUAUAUAAAUGAACUGGUCCCACCUAUGGAAUGUAGAGCUAUGAUAAGGACAGGAAUGCAAAAGCCAUGGUGAUUUGGCAUAUGGACUGCAUGAAAUGUCUCCCAAGUGAAAACAUGGGGAUGGAAGAGAAGACUGAGCAGAGCAAGAGAAUGGCUCACUUGAAUGGAAAUACCUGUAAAAACCACAGCACUCAAGGGCUUUGUUUGGUGCCCUUGGGCCAAGCCGAAAAGCAUAACCUCAUAACCAAUGCCAGUUAUGAGGCCUUUAAGCUCCAGUUUCCUCUGGGUUCCUGAAAGUGUGAACUCCUGGGGGUCCAGCAGCUUGCCAGAAUCCACCACGAUUACUAGAAAGCUGUCAAAGGCAUUCUCCAAUGCCAUCCAUGAAACUGUGAACCCAUGGGGAUUAAUGUCGGAAAUGGUUAAGCUUUCCAGUAGGGGCAAGGCCUCUGAAAGAAGGGAGGGUUGAAAACAGUACAGAUUAGUGUCACAGACUCCACCAAAAUAGCCUUAAAUCUUCACAAAGGACAAUACAUGGAAAAUCUUAAAAGGUUACCAGAUGUCAAGUAUUGACACAGUAAUUUUUUUCUUGUAGAUUAUAUAAAUAUCAUUUUUAGCAUUAUUAGGAAAAUAAUUUUGAAUUUAUGGACCCCCUAAAAAGAUCUUGGAACUACUGCCCUAGGACAGUCUAGGUCAUGCUUAAUUUGGAGCACUCUGCAUUCACUGUUGUAUAAAAACACUCAAAAAAUAAUUCUUAAUGCUUAAGAUUUAAUCCUAAAGGCUUUGACUUAAAGAAAAAGAGUUAAAAUACUCUUUCACUUUAUAAAGAAGUGUAUUGUCAUUCUACUCCCCACUUAUUUUCUGGAAUUGGAUCUCCCAAGUUUUUUUUUGAAACACUGGUUGUUUAUUUUGAAAUAUUUUGCAUAAAGAGAUUUUUAAAAAUGUAGUGUUUCUGAUAAAGGCUAAGAAGAAACUUAUGAUAUAAACAAAACUUUUCCUUUUCCCUUCAUUAACGGAACAUUACUUCCUAUGGAAUCAUCUUUGCCCCUUCACUAUCAUGUAAUUUUUCCCUGAUAAGCUUGAUGUGAUUUUUCUCUGUGUGCCCAUUUUAAGGGUAUUUUUAAAGAUCUUGACUGCCUUUAUAUUUAACACUUGGAGUGGACAAUCUAGUAAUUUGGUCCUGGAUGUACAAACUAGAGAUUUUCUGCCUUAUUUAAUUUUUUUUUUGUUAUUCAUUCUCCCUGGGAGGUUUGUAUGAAGCAACAUGUAAUGGGAAAGUCUCUUUGAUAGAACCUUUGUUCAUUAAUAAUCAUCAUUUACCCACAACCCCCAGGAAUUUUAUUCAUUACUCAUCUUAUGUAUAUGUAUAUAUAUCUAUAUAUCUUUGGAAGUCUGAGGUUUAGAAGAUUAUCUGAGCAAUGAAUAUACACACAUACAUGCAUGUAUAUCUGAUUAUAUUUUAGAAACUUGUUCUUUUCAAUUGUGGGAAAAUCAUUAUGGAAUAUUUCCAUUGUGCAGAACUGUGCUUGGGAGGCCCUUUAAAUUUAAAUAAUGAAUCUAAAUUUUCCUCAGACAAUAAAAAACUUAAUGGAACUUUCACAGAUACAUAAUUUAAAACAGGCACUGGGAGGGAAUUUGGUUCAGUAUGUGUGAAUCAGAUGAUUUUCUUCCCCCUCCUCCUUAACUCUCCACCUCAUAUUAGUAUAUGUGAGAUUUCUUUUGCCUCUUAGGUAUGCUUACUCUAAAGUUGAAUAUCAUCUCGUUCCAAAAAUGAUGAACAAGAAUAUUUCCUUUUUAAGAAAAAAUUCAGAAAGAUAAUUCCUAGGAAGUGAAUAAGGAUACCAUAAAUAAGGUCUAAGUGACUUAUCUAUUCUCUAAUUCUAACCCUUAAUGAUCUCUUCUAGUUGUCAAUUUUAGAGAGAAUGUUUUUCUGUUGUUAAGGGCAAACCAACAUCUUUCAGGAUUAAUUUAGUCUGAACCUACCCUAUGCAGAGCCAUAAAUUUUAGGAUUUGUUAUUAUUUUUCAUAAAUAUUUAAAUAUAUUUAUAUUGAUUAUAUCAUUCUGUUGGCACAGGAGCCAAUCUUCCACAAAUCAGACUGGGGAAAUUUAGUAUCCCAAUGGAAUGCCCAAGAAGUAUUUUCCCACAAUUGAUUUUGAAAAGAGAAAUUUCUUCUUCUUAAUCACAAGGAAGAGGAGAAUCAGGCUAAACAAGUUUAAAUAGGUUUUGGAUGUUGUAUGUACAGUGAAUCAUGUUGAAUUCUGCCUGGAAUUAAAAUAAUGACACUAUUUUCUAUAAGCUAGAAUUACAAAUGAAAUUCUAUGAUGUUAAAGACUUUGAAACUAGUAACUGUCAUCACAAAGCCAUUUAGUGAUUUGGUCUGGUCAUCAGUCUAUAUUGUUUCCUAAUGUUAAUGUCAUAGUCAGUAUUAUCUCUCAAUAUGUGAUGUAAUGUGAUGUAAGCAUGUCACCAGAGAUUGUGCUGCUGAAGUUCAUACAGAAAGUGAGAAUUGCUAACACUGAUGACAAUCUUUGCAAAGGGGCCAGCACUUGUGGUCCAUAUGUCAAGGAUAAUAUGGCCUCCUGCACCUGAAUGACAAAGCUGUCAUAAGCCCCAUCUGCUGCCAUCCAGUUGAGUUUGAGGGCAUCCCAGCUAACAUCUGUCACGAUGCUGUCCAUUACUACCAACUUCCUCCAGUGAGGUGGAUGUUAUGCUUGAUAGAGAAGACUCUGCAAUGUGAAUAAUUCCUGGCUGAGGAACAUAAUGCCUGACCUUUGGGUAUGACCUGUCUCCUCCCAAACUGCCAUUGCUAGAAGACAACAGUGAUUUGGACAACAGAGACAUGAAUUUGAAGUGGCAUGGACACAGGUUCCCUUCCUGCUGAGGAUAUUUUACUCUUCUUGCCUUUGCCUAUGAAAAUCUCUAGGUCAUUUCAAAGUCCAGCUCAGGCCAGGACCACGGGUGUUGUUUUUCACAAUAUGCAAAGAAAUCUCAUACUCCUGUCCUGGAGCCAGGC
Long non-coding RNA from Sarcophilus harrisii (Tasmanian devil), 4082 nucleotides. RefSeq lists it as uncharacterized. NCBI's taxonomy places the organism in Eukaryota, Metazoa, Chordata, Mammalia, Dasyuromorphia, Dasyuridae. The record is from RefSeq and is a predicted model, not a curated record. The transcript has 5 exons.